This 490-nucleotide ribosomal RNA is filed under the name uncultured bacterium. RNAcentral's name for it is "partial 16S ribosomal RNA". It matches the Rfam family "Bacterial small subunit ribosomal RNA", at positions 30 to 507 of the family's 1533-position model. The record is from RNAcentral.
AUUGAACGCUGGCGGCAGGCCUAACACAUGCAAGUCGAACGGUAACAGGAAGAAGCUUGCUUCUUUGCUGACGAGUGGCGGACGGGUGAGUAAUGUCUGGGAAACUGCCUGAUGGAGGGGGAUAACUACUGGAAACGGUAGCUAAUACCGCAUAACGUCGCAAGACCAAAGAGGGGGACCUUCGGGCCUCUUGCCAUCGGAUGUGCCCAGAUGGGAUUAGCUAGUAGGUGGGGUACCGGCUCACCUAGGCGACGAUCCCUAGCUGGUCUGAGAGGAUGACCAGCCACACUGGAACUGAGACACGGUCCAGACUCCUACGGGAGGCAGCAGUGGGGAAUAUUGCACAAAGGGCGCAAGCCUGAUGCAGCCAUGCCGCGUGUAUGAAGAAGGCCUUCGGGUUGUAAAGUACUUUCAGCGGGGAGGAAGGGAGUAAAGUUAAUACCUUUGCUCAUUGACGUUACCCGCAGAAGAAGCACCGGCUAACUCCGUG